CCAUUUUGUACAAUUCUUCAGGGCUCCUUUCUUCUUGCUAGUUGGGGUUCUGCCCGAUUUAUGAAUCACUUAAGAAAGCCAAUCAGAUCUUCAAAUUUACUCAGUUGAAUUUUUGUUUUUAACACAUUGAUUAUUUCAUUUCAGCUAACUGUAUUGUUAUUGGGGUGAAUGAGGCAGAGGAGGGGAUAGACUAGUUAGGAGUGGUGGGCCGGAGUUGUUGGAUGUAUGUAAGGAACACAAACAGGUUCUAAGGAAGUUUACAAGAGUUAGUAACUGCUUAAAUGAAGUAGGAAUUGAAGUUUCUUCAACUGAGUGGAUGAUGGUACCACUAACUCCUGAGACUAUAAGGAUAAGGUAGUAGUCAGGAGGGAUAAAGAAAGACAUAAAGACCAUAGUUUGGCUGGGCUGAUUUUGAGGCACAUAAAGGAUAUUCUCUAUCAUCUAUCUAUCUAUCUAUCUAUCUAUCUAUCUAUCUUUCCUCCUUCCUCCCUCCUUUCUUCCUCCCUCCCCCCUCCUUCCUUCCUUUCUUUUUAUUUAUUUAUUUAUUUAUUUAUUUAUUUAUUUAUUUAUUCCAGAGAGAGAGAAGAGGAAGAGCAGAGGGAGAGAGAUAAGCCUGGGGCUCCAUCUCAGGGGCUGGAUCUCAGGACCCUGAGAUCAUGACCCGAGCCAAAACCAAGAGUCGAUGCUUAACCAACUGAAUGACCCAGGCACCCCUCUUCUUCUUCUUCUUUUUUUUUUAAGUAGACACCACACCCAAGGUGGAGUCCAACACAGGGCUUGAACUCACUACCCUAAGAUCAAGACCUGAGAUCAAGAGUGAGACACUUAACUGACUGAACCACCCAGGCACCCCUCCAGAAACAUGUUUCAAUUUUUUACCUUGAAAUAAAAUACCACAAUACUUUCUAUAGGAACUACACCUUGAUAAUUUCAGAGGCCACUAUCUCCCCUGGCAUUAUCUCUCGUGUGACUAUGGCUGACGGUUGUGACUCCCUGGGCUCUCUGAGACAGAAUCACCAGGAGGUUGAGGAGGCCUGGGGAAACUUGGGUUGCAGUCCUAUUUGGCAAGAAAAUUUUCAGUACAACCAGAGGCCACCAACAGAUGUAAUCAUGCCGCUGAGCAUACAGACGCCAUAGGAUUUGGUAUCCUUAAAGAACUUUCUAAAGUGGGCAAAGAUGAUCAAAAGGUAACAAACUUCCAGUUAUAAGAUAAAUAAGUUGUGGGAUGUAAUGUACAGCAUGACGACUAUAGUUAACAAUAUGGUAUUGUAUAUUUGAAAGCUGUUGUUUACUUAACAAGAAGAAGACACCUGGUUGGCUCAGUUAGUACAGCUUCCAACUCUUGAUCUUGGGGUCAUGAGUUUAAGCCCAAUGUUGGGCACAGAGAUUACCUUAGGAAAAAAAAAGGAAAGUUGCUAAGAGAGUAGAUCUUAAAAGUUCUCAUAAUAAGAAAAAAUAUUUGUAAAUAUGUGCGGUGAUAGAUGUUAACUGAACUUAUUGUAAUAAUUAUUUUGACAUAUAUGAUAUAUAUAUGUUAUGUUGCAUACCUAAAACUAAUACAAUGUUAUAUGUCAAUUAUAUUGCAAUAAAACUGGAAAAAAAAAGGGCUUUCUAAGCA
Molecule: long non-coding RNA, 1618 nt
Organism: Ursus maritimus (polar bear)
Lineage: Eukaryota; Metazoa; Chordata; Mammalia; Carnivora; Ursidae
Source: Ensembl